GCACUGUGGCGUGGCGGCUCGCGCUCCCCUCGGCGGGCCAUGGCGCGGGCCGGGGCCGCGAAGGCGCCGCGGCUGCUGCUCCUGCGCUCGGUCGCGCUGUGGCUCGCCCUCCUCGGCGCCCCGUCGGCGGCCGCGUCCAAGGCGGUGACCGCACACUUGGCUGCCAAGUGGCCCGAGACCCCGCUGCUGCUGGAGGCCAGUGAAUUUAUGGCAGAAGAAAGUAAUGAAAAGUUUUGGCAGUUUGUGGAAACAGUAAGAGAAUUAGCAGUUUAUAAGCAAACAGAAUCAGAUUAUUCUUACUACAACCUAAUCCUGAAGAAAACUGGACAGUUUUUAGACAAUAUACACAUCAAUCUCUUAAAGUUUGCUUUCUCUAUAAGGGCAUACUCUCCAACUAUUCAGAUGUUUCAACAGGUUGCUGCUGCUGAGCCUCCCCCAGAUGGAUGCAGUGCAUUUGUGGUUAUCCAUAGGAAGUACACCUGUAAAAUUAGUGAGAUUAAAAAGCUGCUGAAUAAGGCUGCUGCAAGACCCAGGCCUUACCUGUUUGAAAGAGAGCAUAAGUUUCCCACAGGCAAUGAGAACUUACCAGUGGUUAUUCUCUAUGCAGAAAUUGGUACAAAAGAAUUUGCUGAAUUUCACAGAGUGUUGUCUAAGAAAUCUAAAAGUGGUAAAAUUCUGUAUGUUCUCCGCCACUAUAUUAAGAAGCCAAGCUCCAGGAAGAUGUUCUUGUCUGGCUAUGGAGUGGAGCUAGCGAUUAAAGACACCGAAUACAAAGCGUUGGAUGACACACAAAUUAAAACUAUGACUGAUACUGCUGUAGAAAAGGAGACUGAAGCAGAUGAAGUUCAAGGAUUUCUCUUUGGGAAACUAAAAGAGAUACAUUCAGAUCUUAAAGAUAAUCUUACAGCAUUCCAAAAGUACUUGAUUGAGAGCAGCAAACAAAUGAUGCCUUUGAAAGUCUGGGAAUUACAAGAUCUUAGUUUUCAAGCAGCCUCUCAAAUAGUGUCCACUCCUGUUUAUGAUGCCAUAAAACUAAUGAAAGAUAUUUCACAGAACUUCCCCAUAAAAGCCAGAUCGCUGACAAGGAUUGCUGUAAAUGAACUAAUGAGAAAAGAAAUAAAGGAAAAUCAAAAGGACCUGCGAGAUAGAUUUGAAAUUAAGCCAGGUGAUGCUCGUCUCUUUAUAAAUGGCCUUCUUGUUGACAUGGAUGUUUAUGAUCCUUUUAGUAUUUUAGAUAUGCUGAAAUCAGAAGGAAAACUGAUGAGUGGCCUUAAAAAUCUUGGGCUCAGUGAAGAAGAUAUGAGCAAAUUUUUAAAGUUGAAUUCUCCUGUUUGGAACUAUGACUAUGUUUUAGAUAUUCGGCAUUCUUCAAUAGUGUGGAUUAAUGACUUAGAAAAUGAUGGUUUGUAUAUUUCUUGGCCUACAAGUUGCUGGGAAUUUCUGAAACCAGUGUUACAUGGAACAGUUCCAUCUAUAAGGCGUAAUUUUCAUAAUCUGGUUCUGUUUAUUGACCCUGCUCAAGAAUACACCCUGGACUUCAUAAGAUUGGCAGAAUUUUUUUAUUAUAAUGAAAUGCCUCUUAGAAUUGGUUUUGUGUUCAUUCUUAAUGUUGAUAAUGAAGUUGAUGGAACAACAGAUGCUGGAGUUGCUCUUUGGCGAGCUUUCAAUUAUAUUGAAGAAAAAUAUGAUGUAUCAGAAGCAUUUAUCUCCAUGACGCAUAUGUACGAAGAAGUGAAGGGUCAUCGUGUACUCACUGUGGAUAACGUGAAGAACAUUCUUCAAAAUAAAUCCCCUUAUGCUGACAUUUUGGAUAUUUUGGGACCCCAUUCCAAAUAUGACAGAAGAAGAACGGCAGGAACAAGCUUUUAUAAGAUGACUGGCCUAGGUCCUUUGCCUCAAGCUCUUUAUAAUGGUGAACCCUUUGACCUCAAAGAGGUGAGCACUGAAGAGCUGAAAGGGGCUGUUCUGGGAAAAAUGAUGGAUGCGUUUGUGUAUCUGCAGAGAGAUGUUUUCAUGGGCACAUUAAAUGAUGAAAUCAAUGCAAUUGAUUUCCUGAUGGAUAAGAAUAAUGUUGUACCCCGUUUAAAUUCUUUGAUUUUGCACACUGAACCACAGUACCUUAAUUUAUUAUCUUCAUCAGUAACUGCUGACAUUGAAGAUUUCUCUACUUUCUCUUUCUUGGACUCACAAGAUAAGAGUGCUGUGAUAGCAGAAAGCAUGCAGUAUUUAACCCAAGAAGAUCCUGUGAUAUCUGCAGUCACUCUGUGGAUUAUUGCUGAUUUUGAUGUGCCAUCUGGGAGAAAACUGCUUUUGAAUGCAUUAGAGCACAUGGAAACAAGUGUUCAUAGUCGGUUGGGGAUCAUUUAUAAUCCUACAUCAAAGAUAAAUGAAGAGAACACAGUCAUUUCUAGAGGAAUUCUGGCAGCUUUUCUUACACAUAAAAACAGCCUUUUGAGAAGAUUUCUCAAAAAACUGGCAAAAGAAGAAACUGCUGAAGCAAUUUAUUCUGGAGAUAAAAUUAAAACAUUCCUUACUACGGGGAUGGAUAAGAAUGCUUUUGAGAAAAAAUACAACACCGUUGGAGUGAACACAUUCCGGACCCACCAGUUAUUCUGUCAAGAUGUGCUUCAACUGCAACCUGGCAAAACUGGAAUUGUCAGCAAUGGGAGAUUCUUAGGACCUUUACUUGAAGAAUUCUACCUAGAAGAUUUUCACUUGAUUGAAAAGAUCACAUUUAGUAAUUCAGUAGAGAAAAUCAAAGACAUUGUUGAAAAUAUGGAAAUCAACUCAAAACACAUGAGCGACCUUGUGAUGAAAAUUGAUGCGCUUGUGUCUCCAUUGCCUGUGCGUGCCUCUCGAUAUAAUGUCACAUUACUCAAAGAGAACCACAGUGUUAUAAAGAUAAAUCCCCCGGAGAAUGAUACGUUCUUUGAUGUCGUUGCUAUUGUGGAUCCUCUGACCAGAGCCGCUCAGCAGAUGGCACAGUUACUGGCUGUCCUUGGCAAGAUUGUGAAUGCAAGGAUAAAGCUGUUCAUGAACUGCAGGAGCAAGCUUUCAGAAGCCCCUUUGAGAAGCUUUUACCGUUUUGUUCUGGAACCAGAGCUGAUGUCAGGAACUAACAAUAGUCCUUCUCGUGGACCAGUGGCAAAAUUCCUGGACAUCCCAGAAUCACACCUUUUAACUCUCAACAUGAUUACACCAGAAGGAUGGCUGGUUGAAAUAGUACACAGCAACUGUGACCUUGAUAAUAUUAACUUAAAAGAUACGGGAAGAGUGGUUACAGCAGAGUAUGAGCUGGAGCAUCUGCUGCUGGAAGGGCAGUGCUUUGACAGGACAACAGAGCAGCCCCCUCAGGGUCUGCAGUUCACGCUGGGCACAAAAAACAACUCUGCUUUAGUUGACACAAUAGUGAUGGCCAAUCUUGGAUAUUUUCAAUUAAAAGCAAACCCAGGUGCAUGGAUACUGAAAUUACGUGAAGGAAAAUCUGAAGAUAUUUAUGAAAUAGUUGGGCAUGAAGGAACAGACUCAGAGACGGAUGCUGGAGAUGUCAUUGUUGUGUUAAACACCUUCAAGAGCAAGAUACUAAAAGUGGAGGUAAAAAAAAAAUUAAGUAAAAUUAAGGAAGAUAUCCUUGCUGAUAAACAUGAAAACAGAGGCAUGUGGGAUUCAUUUAAAAGCUUCACACAAAGUCUACAUGAAGGUGACAAGAAGGAAAAUGACAUCCUAAACAUUUUUUCAGUUGCUUCUGGCCAUUUAUAUGAACGUUUUCUGCGGAUUAUGAUGCUUUCUGUUCUUCGGAACACCAAAACACCAGUGAAGUUCUGGUUUCUGAAGAAUUACCUCUCGCCAACAUUUAAAGAGGUGAUUCCUCACAUGGCUAAGGAAUAUGGAUUCCAAUAUGAACUUGUCCAAUAUAAGUGGCCCCGUUGGCUUCAUCAACAGACUGAAAAGCAAAGAAUCAUUUGGGGUUACAAAAUUCUUUUCCUUGACGUCCUUUUUCCACUAGCAGUGGACAAAAUUAUAUUUGUUGACGCUGACCAGAUUGUGAGACAUGACCUAAAAGAGCUUCGAGAUUUUGAUCUGGGUGGAGCUCCUUAUGGAUAUACUCCAUUCUGUGAUAGCCGCACUGAAAUGGAUGGAUAUCGUUUCUGGAAAACUGGAUAUUGGGCAUCACAUCUUAUGAAAAGGAAAUACCACAUCAGUGCCUUAUAUGUGGUGGACCUCAAGAAGUUCAGGAGAAUCUCAGCAGGUGAUAGGCUUCGGGGCCAGUACCAAGCUCUUAGCCAAGAUCCAAAUAGUCUUUCAAACCUAGAUCAGGAUCUUCCCAACAAUAUGAUUUAUCAAGUUGCCAUUAAGUCUCUUCCUCAAGACUGGCUGUGGUGUGAAACCUGGUGUGAUGAUGAAUCUAAACAAAGAGCCAAAACAAUUGAUCUGUGCAAUAAUCCCAAAACAAAAGAACCCAAACUAGAAGCUGCAGCAAGGAUUGUCCCAGAAUGGGUCGAAUAUGAUACAGAAAUACGAAAAUUAUUAGAUCAUCUUGAAAAUAAGAAAAAUGCAAUUUCUGUACAUGAUGAACUCUAGCACUGGUUUCCAGAAGAUAAACCACGAUGAAAACCUGCCACCUGCUGAGAAUUUGUGGAACUGCUGAAACUAGUGAAGCCAAGACUCUACUGGGGCAUUUGUGUGAAGAAUCUGUGGUGUUUGGUCAGUUGGAGCUGAAGAAUUAGCUAUGAUGAACAAGAGACCAGGACCACUAAAGUAGAACCUUUGUUUUACUGGAACAAUGGAUGCUGGUCAGCUGGGGAUGAAGAGCCAGCUGUGGUUAAGAAGAGACCAGAAUCAAUGAGGUGAAGUGUUUCCUGAGAGUCAGUACACAAGCUGUGUCCUAGAGGUGGCCUAGGCUGUACCAAGUGCUGACAGUCAAACUUGAUAAUGUGUAAGACUCCCAGUUGGUACUGGCUUUGAAGGCAUGAAGGGGUCAUGAAGAACAGCUAACUAAGGCUUGGCACUGAGAGCCAGGCGAAGCCACUCAUAAAGGUGCAGCCUCAAUAGCAGUUGAAGUCUCUGGAUUGAAGAGGUCAUGCUGAGAAGUUGAGGCUUGGCACCAUGAAGUGGGCCCAGGAGACACUCCUGGUGAAAGUGCAGGAUUUUGGAGAUGCCAGUCCCAUGGGACAACCACCACCAGCAGCAGCAGCUGUGCAGUGGGACCAGCCUGAGCCUAGAGGACAAGCUGUGUGCUGCAGAUCCAGAGAAGUGACCCAAGCCCUUGGAAGAGCCCCUGAGAUUGAGGGAGGGUGAAUCCCAAAUAUUGGACAUUGAGUGAGUUAUACUGUUGGGAUUUGGUUUACUUUGAUCUGAUUGAGCCCUGGUUCUUCCCUCUUGAAAUAACUUACUUUUUACUUUAUAGGAGUGUCCCACACUUCAGAGACAUUUGACUUUAAAAGACUUGGGAUUUUUUUGUUUUUAAAGACUGAAUUUUUUAAGUGUUUGAAUUUGUAAGAUUAUUUGCUGUGAAACAAUCUUUUUUUACACUGCGACUAUGUAUUAUCAUUGGAUUAAUAAAGAGCUAAUGGCCAAUAGCUAGGCAGGAGGAAGUUAAGCAGGACUUUCAGACAGUAAAAAAGAGAGCUGGGGGAAGGAGGAGGCAGAGUCACUGGGAGUCACCAGCCUGAUGCAGAGGGAGCAGGAAAUGAACAUGCCAUGUUGAAAAAAAGGUACCAUCAUGUGGUAGAGUGUAGACAAGAAAUAUAGGUUAACUUAAGGUGUAAGAGAUAGUAAUAAGUCUAAGCUACUGACAGAGCAUUUAUAUUAAUAAGUCUCAGUCAUCAAAGAUCAAUCUGGGAUAGUGGCUUGAGAUGAAUGAUGCAGACUCUCAAGGGAGAAGAAGCAGGAUUUUUUCUUAAAUGGUUACAGAAAACUGAGAAACUAAAGAGAAGUGAGAAACUAAACUCCAGUAGGGGGAGGGCUUUCCAGAGAGCCAAGUCACCAAACUCCUUGUGACCUUGGUUUUUGUUUCUUUAGGGCCAUGGCAGGAACUGGACAAAAGCAGUAAGUGCAUGUUGAUUCUGUGUGUCGUGUACCCAUCUCCCAUUGAAAGAUUUGCUCAAAAAUAGGGGGAAAAGAAAAGGUAUGGGUUCUGGAGUCACUAGGAUAUAAACUGUAGGCUUGAAGGUAAUUGUAUACUUGCACCAGACUAUGAAGCCCAAAACAGUAGUAACAGGAGCUUGUGUCUGCUAAAGGAAAGCCAGAGCUCUGCCCUGAGGAAAAAAAUGACAAUGUCCCUCUGCUUCCGGCCACCAGGCAGCCCUGGCCUCUUUCACCUCCGACUUCUUCAGAAUAAGGCUGACCGCUUCUAUACUGCCAUGGUAUCAAGAUUACUACUAGGGAUUUGGAAAGUUUCUAAUCUUUCUGCACAAGUUUUAUAUAAAUGCAUUUUUCCUUCAAUACAAAAUAUAUAACUGAAAUCAAAAGCAGGCUUUGCUGUUGCUAGAAACUUACCUGAGCUGUGCUAUGGAACCUUCCUGUAACCAGAAGACAACAGAAAUGAACAGUCAGAGUUCAGAUGAAGGUACCUCUUAGACUUUAAUAUAAAAAUAGAAGAACAGUCCACUAUUUUAAGUCCCAAUUUCCUAGGAUUGGUGAGUUAAAAGAUUUGUAAACUUAUCUACAUUCUGUGCUCUGACCUUCCCUGUAAACUCACAUAAUGUAGGAAAGCCUUUUUGUCAACUCAGUCACUGAUUUUGUGUGAAGUAAAGUUGGAAAUAGACUUAAGAUGGACUUUCUUAGAAUUUUAACUCAAAGGUUAAACAUGAAUCAGAAGCAAGAAAGGAGUGGAUAUGACCAUAAAUAUUUUUAUUAAAUGUGAAAAUACACGGGCAUAAAAAUAUUGCCCAUAUUCAUAGACAUGUAUGAGCCCAGUUGAAAUAAUUUUAGUUCCUUUUUUUUUAUUAAAACACUAAAUUGAGAUGGAUUAUUAGGUCUUCCCCAUUUAAAACAAAUAUAAGCUUAGGAGUAAUAUUUAACUUAUCAAACAUCUCUAAUUUUUACUUCCCCUAUGCCCUGUACUCUUUUGCACAGGUAAAUAUUUCAUCCACAGACGAGUCCAAUAAGCCUGUUGCUACUGUACACAAAGCCACGCAGUGGCUAAUUUUACUCUUAAAUCAUUCAGCAAAUGAGAUCAUCUGUUAAAAAAAAUUAUCUCCCCCUCCUAGCAUCAUUUGAAAUUAGAGUAAACUGCUACUAACAGAAAAGGAACGCUAUGAUCUGGAAAAAGAGAUUCAUUCUUAAAAAUCGUCACUUGCCUUCUCCUCCCUUGAUCACUACAGAAACAUCAAAUACACUCAGGAAAAUCGCCCUGACUUCGUCCUACCUCAGUGAUGUGUACUUACUAAAAACACUGUAAAAGCCAUCAUCUAAGUGCCUAUAUCUAUGAGGCAGGUUGGCACCCCAGUGGCCUGAGAAGUGAUUUCUAACCAAUACAUCUUCUCUCUUCAUGGUAAGCGACAACUUCUGACCAAGUUAAAGCCUUUACAUAUGAAUGUUAUCUUCCAGGAAUAAAUAAUAGUGACAACUGAUGUUUUUUCUACUUGGUUAUCAAUAAUUCUUUCUCACACUUUUGUUGUGUGCAUAAGUUUGGUACUUUUAAAAGAGGGGAGGGCCUCAAAGUCACAGUGACUUCUUAUUGCAGCCCCCACAUUCUGAGAUUAGUCAUAAGCCAGCAUGCCUGCUUACAUUUGAAAAACAUUUUUAAUUCCAUUCAUUAUCAGAACUCCAAUGACUAAUCUCCACACUGUUAUUUAAAACACUACUAGGGGUAUUUUUAAAUUAAGAUGUUAUAUCCAAUGCACAUUAAUUAAACUACUGAGUUGGAUUUUUUUUUCCAGGUUUUCUUCUAUUCAUGGUCAGAAAGAGUAAACUUACAAAACUGAGAAGUGAAGGAAGUUGCCCUCAGGUAGCAGAUGUUUUCCUUCUUCCUGCAGUGAGGAGCACUGGAUGCAGCCCAGUGGUGCUGCCCGCCCUUAGGAAGCUCAUUAUAGGGAUGGAAAGGCUAGAAACAGAAUAGAGUUCAGCUAAGGUGAGCGUUGAUCCCAUUUUCCCCAGAAUUACCACAAAGGGUCUGUAGUUCCUAAAAACAAACCGGAAUGUGGAAGUAGCCCUGCAAAAAGGAAAAAGGGAAAGUGGAGAAUGUUUCUUCAGUAAUGUGGUUUUCCACUGCAUGGUAUACAGUGUCAGGCAGGUAGAAGGAACACUAAUCUGUUCCUCAUCUGGGAUAGGUUGGACACCAGGAGGCUGCCAACAGCAUCCAGGCAGGAAUUUACAGGUCAUCCCUAUCUUACUAAUCAGCACUGAGAUCUACCUUCAUCUUUCAUCUCCCUCCAUGGCAUCUGCCUUUGGCACCAAAGUUUGCAGUGAGCAAGACUAAUCAUGUUACUUUGGGUAGUUACAAGUAGGAGACAAAAUCAAAUAAAAACACCUUGAAACUCUCUGGGAAGCAAAUUAGGAGUCACUCACAGGUCCGUGCAGCCCAAUCUUCAACCAUGUCACUAUCCCUCUGACUCCAUGCUACUGGCAUCUUUCCAUCCGCUCUAAAUGGGAGAGUAAGCAACUUGAUGCUUCCUUGGUUCUGUAGGUGAAAAAUUGCACUUUGGAAUGUACACAGAUGCCAUCAAUGUAGUUCAAAAGUGUCAGUGACGUCACCCACAAAUGGAGUCAGAUUGACAAACAAUUGUGACAUCGUAGUUAAACACAAGAUUUGAAAAACAUUUUUCAUCCACUGUUUCACACUGGCUUGAGUUGAUUUGAUUUACGAUUUUGGUGGGGGCCUGGUAAGGCACUCACUGUGUAAACCAGGCUGGCCUGCUUCUCCUUGUCUCUAGUGCCAGUCUGAUUGGAAUUUGGGGACACUGAAGCAAAGUGAAAGCUGGAAGGCAUCUGAAAUGCACUGUGAAGUUUACUGGUGAGAAAGAGGCUCCUAAGUUCAGGCAAAAAGCACUUACAUGGUUUGCCCAACUCAACUAGGUGAUUUAUGUUCUCCCAUUAAAAAAGUCUUUUUCUAUAGAUGCUCAAGGAUACGACUAUAGGUUAAGAAAAUUAUUUGUGCUUGGAUGCUACAUUCAUGCCUCCCACAAUUAACUAAAAUGCUUAACUUCAUAAAAUCAAUAUAUUAAACCUUUAUACUUAAAAUAUUUCACAAUGUUUUAAGAAAGAAAAAAAACUUUCUAGAAUAAAGGUAAUAAUUCUUACCAAAGUAAUUCUUUUAGAUUUUCAAUGUAACAUCAGUAGUUCAUAAAUACUCAAUGUUCUUGAUUUAGCAAUAGAUUUUUAGGGGAAAAAAAUUAUCCAGUAUACAAAUCAUGAAUAGUAUAUUUCUUAAAGAGGUAUCUGCUUAAAAAUCAAGAGGGAGAUCUCAGGAGGAAACAGAAAAUGUCAUUUUUUUAAGUGAAAUGUUAGCAAGUACAUAGAGUUGAGUAGAUUUGCAAGCCUAUACUUUCUUCUAAGCAGAAAAACAAACCUGGGAACAUCCAGUCCUAGUAAGGCAGAUCUACUGACCAAAAACCAACAACCAAUACAACCAAGACAGUUGGGCUAAAUGUAAGAAAAGAGAAGAGACACUGAGAUGCUGCUUCAAGUGGGAAUCCUAAUGCUCUGCUUAGGCUUGCAAAGCAACUCUUCAUUUCUAGCAAACAACUUGGAACUUCACUUGUUUAAAAAGUAUUUCAAACUGACCUCCAACAGUAUUGUCUAAAAUACCACUGAGCCUCUUUUUUACGCAUUUUAACUUGUUCUGUUUAACAUUUAAAGGAGGAUCUGUAAGUUUUUAUAAUUAAAUUCAAGUGAAAUUGGUAUUCUCCUAUAGAUACAAAACAACAACAAAAAUAUAUGCUCAACUUCAGCCCAUUCAACACCUGGACAUACCACCACUACGUGAGAGUAUGUUCCUAAAAGAUGGUCUCCACCCUUCCUGCAGUGACAGCCAUGAUGACACUGGUACAGGAGUAAAUACUUGCAAGUGACUGGACUGACC
Peromyscus leucopus (white-footed mouse) is the source of this 10024-nucleotide RNA transcript. It is a transcript of the gene named UDP-glucose glycoprotein glucosyltransferase 2, with no coding region annotated. The record is from RefSeq and is a predicted model, not a curated record. The transcript is spliced from 40 exons. Lineage: Eukaryota; Metazoa; Chordata; Mammalia; Rodentia; Cricetidae.